RNAcentral lists this long non-coding RNA (642 nucleotides) under Phoenix dactylifera (date palm). RNAcentral describes it as "long non-coding RNA (PDAC_LNC020108)". Lineage: Eukaryota; Viridiplantae; Streptophyta; Magnoliopsida; Arecales; Arecaceae. The record is from RNAcentral.
UCAAACUUUCUUUUAUAUGCAGAUAUUAACUUGCAUUGGAAAAAUGUGUGGUUCUGAGUUAUCGUCAAUUACCUACCCUUGAUUGUAGCAUACGUGCUGGGUGAUUGAAUACAAACAUGUGGAGAUUUGAACACAAAAAUAAUGCAUGCAUUAGGGUUACUACACUUUUUAUUUUUUUGUUUAGCUUUAUAAUGUAAAACACGAACCUCUUCGAUGCAAUCGCAGAGUGUGGUCUUAUAUAUCUUAUAUCCAGGUGGUAGUGCUUUUGUGCUGUUUUUGUUUUGCGUAUUGAACUUUUUAAUUAGUAAUUUAUGAUUCCAGAACAUUUGCUCUUCGUGUGCCUGGGCCCUCUCAUGAUAGCAGAAAGCAUGUUACUUUAUCAGUUUGGUUGUGUUUCUCUUAUUUAUAAGAGCACAGUGGUCUUCAUUUAACAUUCCAAAGGUGUUUCAUAUUUUACUGUACACAUACUGUAUUGUCUUAUAUUUGCUUAGCAUCUCUUGAUGAAUCUCUUGAUGCUCUUGGUCUUACCUUUUUUUUUUUUUGUAUAAUUGUUGAUUCUUGGUCUGCUUAAACCUUAUGACCUCUAUAUGCUUUUCUUUAUUCAGUCUGGAUGCUGCAAGCCACCCACAGCAUGCGGCUUCA